GAGAACACAAGGGUGAACUGACUAUACAAACUAACUCACGUUCCUGGAUGCUUAAUGACUUCCAGCUGCUCAGUGAUUAGAGCGACUUGUUACCUCUUAACCCUUUAGUACCAACACCUAUGAGAACCAAAACGUUGUCACCUUGAAAUUCUAUCUCAAAAAAAUUGCAGUGCAGUUUUCCAGUCACACAAAAUACACAAAAAUGCAUAUACUCCAUUUAAGCUGCUCAUGCAAAUGCACAUUGUGAAAAUGGCUAACAACGAUGGAUUAUUUUAGGAUACAUAGCUUUGCAAAAAAAUCCUCUCCUCCCCACUCUGUUUGGGAUUCCAGGUUUACAAGGGUUAUUAUGCAGCUGUAACCCUGCAACAAGAUAAAACAGAUAGUGUGUUGAGCAGGGAAAGAGUUAAAAUAUUUCCUCCAGUGAAGCCUAUAGCCAGCUAAGACUACAGGUCAAGUAAAAAAAUUGACUGACCUUGUUAAACACUUCCCAUAAGUCAUGCAGAGUGGAUAUACAAAUGACAAUAAAUCAAUUUCAAGUAACAAAACACAUGUAGUACAAGAGUAAUUUGCAACAUAGUUCAGAAGGUGAAUUGUUGGUUUCUUGGUAUCAAAUUACCUUGGUAAAUUUAUUAUUGACUAGCAUAGUAUUUUUAUAGUAUUUUUAUAUCACAUCAGUACUUUUUCUCAGCCAUAUUUAAGGUGUUUAGAAAGCUUGCACCAUGGUAAAUUUGUUACUCUUUAGGAUACCACAAACUUAUUUUAUGGUGUCCUAUUUCUCAAGUUCCUUUUUUAGGGGAAUGAGGGGACCCUAUUCUGGGAACUGUACCAUGGUCCCAUGUACUACAUCAGGAAGAUUUUGGGCAUCACAUGGCAAGUCAGUCUCAAAGAUGUGCUCUGCCAAGCCCACAUUCCCAGCAUGUUCACACACUGCUCUCAGUAACAUCUACACUGGCUUGGUCAUGUUCACAGAAUGGAAGAUGACAGGCUCCCCAAGGAGGUGCUUUAUAGGGAGCAGGCACCCAACUCAUUGGCAGACCAACUCUGCAUUACAAAUAUGUCUGCAAACGUGACAUGAAGACUACAAGCAUCAAUCCCACCAUAUGGUCAUCCCUUGCAUAUGACCGCAGUGCCCGGAAUACAAUCGGGUCAUGCAUUCAUAGCAGUGACAAGAUGAGGAAUGAUCACAAGGAGGACCACAGUGAGAAGAAAUGCCAUGGUGUAUCUGCAACAGCACAACCAGAUGCUUUCAUUGCCCCAGCUGCAACAAAACAUAACCCUCCAAUAUUGGUCUCUACUGCCACAGCAGGCUCCAACAGUUUGACCACCCCCAAUACACUCCUCCAUCGACUCUAGAGACAGACAGAUGCCAAUUGCCAUGGUGCUUCAACCAUCUUGAUUGCAGUUAAAUCUGCUAUCCUGUAAACCAAGGGUGUAGAACCUCAGGGUCAAGGCUUGAACUGGCCUUCCAAACCUCUUUAUGGCCCUUGGAACACUCUCAAGACCGCAUCCCUUCUCGAAUGAUGAUUUUGACUUCGUCUAACUGUCAGUACGCCUUUCAACCGAUGUCAGCGACUGGGCUCAGUAACUGGUUCUGCCCCGACUGGGCUAGGCAACUGGAGCACUUGCAGAGACCUUCCAAACCUGGAAAGCAGCUCUCAUCUCAGUGCACUGGACUUGCAACUGCGCAUUGUGAGCACCAUACUCAGCAGAGUAUAAAUAACGCGGAAGCUAGCUGUGAAGCAUAACUCCUUUUAUUUCUAAUAGCUACUACAAACUAAAGAACUACUGGCUUGCAUGAGUGUUACAGCUCCCACUCUGCCAUCUAGUCACUACAUAGAUAAGACUUUCUCCACACAUAGAGUGAGUCAGUCAGGAGCGGAAGAGUAGAAGAGCAGUUUCCGCCCCCUCCUUUCUCAAAACAUCAGAUCAGGAGAUGCAAUGGGAGGGGGUGAAAAGAUCAACAAUCUCCCCCUUUUCAUACCAACCAUUGCAGAAUCUAACAGAUUUGCAAUUUAUGUACAUAUACAGCGAGUUGUUCUCUGUUAACUUUGGUUAGUGCAUCGGCAGGUAUUUCUUUCCCUGGCAUAUAGGACACUUUCACAAUUCCUUUCCGGAUGCAUUCUCUAGCUCGGUGAAGCUUAAUCUGUAGCUAUUUUGUUGUCUGUUUGCAUCCUUGAGAGUGGAGCAAAGCUAUACCUGUACAAGCUUUAUUGUCCUGAUAGACUUGAAUAGGACAAGUAACUUUCACUUUUACAUCCUCAUACAGUUGUAAUAACCACUGUCCAUGAGGAAAAGAGUUAAAGUGUUAAGUUCUGCUUCGCAAGAACUCAUGCUUACUGUUGCCUGCGUCCUACAAGACCAAUCAAAUAGGCAUUGAUUAUACAAGUAGCACACAUCUGAAGUGCUUUUACCAUCAAUUGCAUCACUGCCAAAACUGGCAUCGGCAUAAAUUUCAAGACCUCCAGAUUUUUGGCUGGUGAACCUCAACCUGUAAUGCAGAGUGCUUUUUAAGAACCUUGCUAUGCGUUUCAGCGCCUUCCAGUCUUAAACUGUGGGUUGGUUUGCAUGUCUCCUGAGCAGAUUACACUUACAGCAAUAUCUGGUCUUGUACACUUUGCGAUAAAACUGAGUUUGCCUAAUACACUCCUGAAAAGCGUAUCAGGAAAAACAUCAGCAUCAUGUUGGUAACCUGAGACCAUGGGGGUGUCUACAGCAUUAGCAUCACUCAGGUUCAACCUUUCAAUAACAUCACUGAUUUUACGUGUCUGAUGCAGCAAAACAUCACCUUGUGUAUUUUUCUCUACCUCUAGUGAGAGAUAAUUGCUGACUUCUCCGAGAUCUUUCAUAUCAAAAUGUUUCUGCAGCUUUGCUAGAGUGCUUUUGUAAAUAUUAUCAUCUUUCCACAAAAAUAAGAUAUCCUCUACAAAGCAAAUGCAGUAGAGCUUGUGCUGAUUAGAUUCUUUCACAAAAACACAAGAAUCAGCCUUCCCUUGCUGAAAACCUAGGGAAAACAGCACUUCUGUCAGCUUGGUGUGCCAGCAUCCUGUGCUUUGUUUUAAGCCAUACAGGUUUUUUUUUUCCCAGUUUACAAACCAUUCCAUUUUAUUUGCACUCCAUCUGGCAGUAACAUGUAAAUAUUCUCAGUGAGAAUUCCAUAUAAAAACACAGUAUUUACAUCGUGAUUAGUAAUAGUCAUACCUUCCUCAGCAGCAAUUUUCAUCAACAGCCUAAUACUCUCAAACUUUACUGUCAGUGAGUAUGUCUCAUGAUAGUCCUGAUCAGGUAUUUUGAGAGAAACCACGUGCCACUAGUCUGGCUUUGUACCUGACUAUUUUACCAUUCUGAUCAGUUUUUGUCCUGUAAAUCCACCUGCUAUCAACACAUUUUUUGCCUGGUUCUGCUGGAACCAAUUCCCAUGUGUCACUCUGCUUUAGGGAAACUAACUCGGCUUCCAUGGCGUUUAGCCAAGGUUCGGCAUCCUUUGCGGAUAAAUUUUGAACCUCUUUGUAGUUGGCUGGUUCAAAAGCUGAAUCUGAGUUGCUAGUAACAGCAGCUUUAGCAAACUCUUUGGAGCACCGCUUAGGUGGUUUGGCCUUAGUAGCUCAUUCAGAUCUAUGAAAGAUUCUCUGGUCCUCUGGGACUGGUGUCUCCUCCUUGGGAGAAUGACGAUCUAAUGUAAACAAAGGUACUGUGUCUAAAUCAGUGUCAGACUCAUCUGAUUGUUUAAGAGAGGCUUUUGCACUUUGAUAAUCUGUGUCAUCAGAAUCUGCAUCAGCAUUAAUCGUUAGCAACAACAGGAUCUGCCUCUAUCUUAAUUGCUUUCGCAUCAUCAUCUGAAAUGGGAUGACAUUGAAAAAUGCCAACUGUGUCCCAUUUUGGGUCACAAUCCAUGCUUCUGGUCAACCUUAUCACCUUUGUGUCAGUCAUUAACACACGAUAGGAACCUUUUUCAUAACCCAGAAAAAUGCCAGGUUUGCUCAAUUUGUUGUUCUGCAAAGUGUGGACCCAUACUUCUGAACCGAAAAUUCUUAAAUGUUUCGCAUGUCUUUUUGUAAAGCAUUUCAUAUGGGGUGCAAUCAAUAGCCAAUUGGUAUCUGUGAUUGUAUACGUAAGAAAAACAGGAUAGAGCUUCUGCCCAAAAGGGAUUGGAUAGGCCUGAAUCGUGCAACAGAGUUCUUACACCUUGUUGCAAGGUUUGGUUCACUCGCUUGCACAAACCAUUUUGCCAUGGAGAUCUGGGCGUUGCAGUCAUGUGCUCUGUGUUCUGUUCAGUAAGGAAAUUCAUACUAUUCAGAACAAAAUUAUCUACCCCUAUCAGUAAAUAAACAACGUACAUGCUCAUCGUGUACAUUUCUAAGCCAUGCACAAAAUUGUUGAAACCUGGAAAAAGCUUCAGAUUUCUUUUGCAGUACAUAUAUUCCUAUUCCAUAUAUGUUUGGGUCAAUCAGUACCAUGAAGAAACGUGAGUUGCCUUUAGAGUGCUAGAGGUCCAACCUAGUCAGCAUGUAUAACUUCAUAAGGUUUCUUAGCUUCUCUCCCAGAUUUUACACCUUUGAGAGCUUGCUUUGCUUUGUUUUCUGCACAAGAAAAACACUUCAUAUGUUAAGGACAAUUUUUCAAUUUCGUGUCCUCAACCAUGCUUGGCAUUUCGGCUACUGCCUGGAAAUGCAAAUGGCCAAAUAGACGGUGGUACACAUGUAUACACUGGUCAUGCAGUUUCUCAUUCUGUUGUAAAGGGUUACCUAAAUACCUGAUACCUGUUCAAGGUGUGCUCAAAAAUCACAGACACAGUAAUGGAGAAAAAGAAAGUAAAAUUUUAUUGCUGACAGCGGAAUGGUGUCCAAAGACUGGGUGCUAGAGCUCUGGUGCUUUGGGUUUAUAUACCUUUUUGCAAACAGCUUUAGGCAUUACAUAUUCAUAAAUUGCAGCAAAAUCAAACCAAUAAGCGUGGACACAACCCUUCCUAAAUACUCCUAUGUCCAUUUAACAUUUCUCCAACCUACAUGUUAAGGCGAAAAGGGCUUAGCGAUUUUGUUCAGAAAUGACUCCUGGAUAUAUAUUUAGCGUUAGUACACUAACAAAGCCUCCUCCAACAGCACCUAUGGAACGGGUCGGGUAGAUUUCAUCACUACACUGUUCCCCUUGGACUUCCCUCUGUUUCCUGUUUCUAGAGGCACGAGGAAGGAAAGUCUCUACAGUCACAGGGAAAGUGAAGGCUCCGAUUUCCACACACUGGUAAUUACAAGGGUGGUAGUUUGUAGCAAGCCAGGAACCAUAGAUUCGGAUCCUUAAUCAUCCAUCCAGAAUAGAUGGAUCCCUGUCUGGUGAAAUUGACUGUAUAUUGGGGGAAGUAUGGAUACAAAUCUGAAGGUGUGGUGUUUCCUUGGUAGGAGGUAUUGAAGGAACCCCACAACCAAAAUUUAUCGGUGCAGUGUGUAUAAUUUCCUAGCCAACUUUUACGUUGGUGGCAUUGUACCUGGUGCCAAUCUUUCCAUUUGGAGUCCCAUGCCCCAGAGGCAUAGCAACAAAAACACAAGCCUUGGGUGGUUCUGGAAAACUGGAAAUACCGGUAGGAGGUGCCAUUCAAUUCAGAAGGAGGUGUAGUAAAAAGGCCACUUUGGUUAUAUAGUAGGCCUGCCAACACAAUAUCAGGAUCCUUGAUCAGUCCUGGAAUGAGGGACAUGUCAGCUACCUUUCUAGGAUGUUCAUAGUAAAGGGUGACAUUUUCUCAUGCUUUACAAAGACAUUUCCUUGUGUCACACUGGGGUUCCCCAGAAUCAAGAUGCACAUCAGGAUUAAUAUGGACUUCAUUCUCAAAUUCUAAUUCAGGAUCCAGGGAUCCCAAAGAUAUCAGGCAUCAUUUAAGGGUUACAAAAGAGAAACUAAUUUGUCAGACAAAUUUACCCUCUUACCUGUCAGUUAAGGCUGGAGAGGAGGACAGAAACUAUCACCUUCUGUAUACCAACAAUUACUCAAUUGUAGGAGGUCCGAGGUACACAAACUAAACUGGAGGCUUUUCCCUGCAGUGCCCCUGGUGGCACAACUGCACAUUUCUCCUGUUUGAGAACUGCAUUGAGAAAGUACAGUUUUUUUGUUUCUUUCCCCCCAGAAGAUACAGACCAAACUUUAUGAAACAUUCAAUAGUACUUAACAUAGAAAAACCACAGUAAUUUUUUUCUUUUUUCCCCUUUUUUUAUUGAGCAAGAGAAAUCUUAAAAUACAUACAAUACCAACAAACAUUCACUUAAUUGUAGAUUAUAAAGAAUAUAGAUAG
Podarcis lilfordi (Lilford's wall lizard) is the source of this 6274-nucleotide non-coding RNA. The record is from the annotation of a GenBank genome assembly. Lineage: Eukaryota; Metazoa; Chordata; Lepidosauria; Squamata; Lacertidae.